Molecule: ribosomal RNA, 581 nt
Filed under: uncultured bacterium
Lineage: Bacteria
Description: partial 16S ribosomal RNA
Rfam family: Bacterial small subunit ribosomal RNA
Source: RNAcentral
UGGGGAAUUUUGGACAAUGGGCGAAAGCCUGAUCCAGCAAUGCCGCGUGUGUGAAGAAGGCCUUCGGGUUGUAAAGCACUUUUGUCCGGAAAGAAGUCCUUGGCUCUAAUACAGUCGGGGGGAUGACGGUACCGGAAGAAUAAGCACCGGCUAACUACGUGCCAGCAGCCGCGGUAAUACGUAGGGUGCAAGCGUUAAUCGGAAUUACUGGGCGUAAAGCGUGCGCAGGCGGUUUGCUAAGACCGAUGUGAAAUCCCCGGGCUCAACCUGGGAACUGCAUUGGUGACUGGCAGGCUAGAGUAUGGCAGAGGGGGGUAGAAUUCCACGUGUAGCAGUGAAAUGCGUAGAGAUGUGGAGGAAUUCCGAUGGCGAAGGCAGCCCCCGUGGGCCAAUACUGACGCUCAUGCACGAAAGCGUGGGGAGCAAACAGGAUUAGAUACCCUGGUAGUCCACGCCCUAAACGAUGUCAACUAGUUGUUGGGGAUUCAUUUCCUUAGUAACGUAGCUAACGCGUGAAGUUGACCGCCUGGGGAGUACGGUCGCAAGAUUAAAACUCAAAUGAAUUGACGGGGUCAUAGCUG